RNAcentral lists this unclassified non-coding RNA (319 nucleotides) under uncultured Candida. RNAcentral's name for it is "sequence contains ITS1". The stretch from base 1 to 105 matches the Rfam family "5.8S ribosomal RNA", at positions 50 to 154 of the family's 154-position model. Lineage: Eukaryota; Fungi; Ascomycota; Saccharomycetes; Saccharomycetales. The record is from RNAcentral.
GAAUUGCGAUACGUAAUGCGAAUUGCAGAUUUUCGUGAGUCAUCGAAUCUUUGAACGCACAUUGCGCCCCCUGGUAUUCCGGGGGGCAUGCCUGUUUGAGCGUCGUUACCUUCUCAAAGCGGUAGUUUUGGUGGUGGGGGAAGUCUGGCACUCCCCUAAAACACAGGUACACGACAGCGGUGCUGUUUGUAGUAGUAGUGGGUGUUUGUUUAGCGCACGCUGCAAUGUCUUAAGGCAACCCCUUUCAUUGCUGGCAAGCGAGACACGACAUCUCUGCAAGCUCGACCUCAAAUCAGGUAGGACUACCCGCUGAACUUAA